GUAAUAAUCCUGUAGUCGAAAAUGUUGUCUCUCUUGAGUGGAUCCUGAGUACGACGGAGCACGUGAAAUUCCGUCGGAAUCUGGGAGGACCAUCUCCUAAGGCUAAAUACUCUCUAGUGACCGAUAGUGAACCAGUACCGUGAGGGAAAGGUGAAAAGCACCCCGGAAGGGGAGUGAAAUAGAACCUGAAACCGUGUGCUUACAAGUAGUCAGAGCCCGUUAAUGGGUGAUGGCGUGCCUUUUGUAGAAUGAACCGGCGAGUUACGAUUUGAUGCAAGGUUAAGCAGUAAAUGUGGAGCCGUAGCGAAAGCGAGUCUGAAUAGGGCGUUUAGUAUUUGGUCGUAGACCCGAAACCAGGUGAUCUACCCUUGGUCAGGUUGAAGUUCAGGUAACACUGAAUGGAGGACCGAACCGACUUACGUUGAAAAGUGAGCGGAUGAACUGAGGGUAGCGGAGAAAUUCCAAUCGAACCUGGAGAUAGCUGGUUCUCUCCGAAAUAGCUUUAGGGCUAGCCUCAAGUGAUGAUUAUUGGAGGUAGAGCACUGUUUGGACGAGGGGCCCCUCUCGGGUUACCGAAUUCAGACAAACUCCGAAUGCCAAUUAAUUUAACUUGGGAGUCAGAACAUGGGUGAUAAGGUCCGUGUUCGAAAGGGAAACAGCCCAGACCACCAGCUAAGGUCCCAAAAUAUAUGUUAAGUGGAAAAGGAUGUGGCGUUGCCCAGACAACUAGGAUGUUGGCUUAGAAGCAGCCAUCAUUUAAAGAGUGCGUAAUAGCUCACUAGUCGAGUGACACUGCGCCGAAAAUGUACCG
Molecule: ribosomal RNA, 811 nt
Filed under: Staphylococcus aureus
Lineage: Bacteria; Bacillati; Bacillota; Bacilli; Caryophanales; Staphylococcaceae
Description: partial 23S ribosomal RNA
Rfam family: Bacterial large subunit ribosomal RNA
Source: RNAcentral